UGGCGGACGGGUGAGUAACACGUAGAUAAUCUGCCCCUAUCACAGGCAUAACGUUUGGAAACGGACGCUAAUUCCUGAUGAGGUGUUUACAUCAAAGUUUCGACGGAUAGGGAUGAGUCUGCGUCUGAUUAGCUAGUUGGUAAGGUAAUGGCUUACCAAGGCGACGAUCAGUAGCUGGUUUGAGAGGAUGAUCAGCCACACUGGAACUGAGACACGGUCCAGACUCC
This 227-nucleotide ribosomal RNA is filed under the name uncultured bacterium. RNAcentral's name for it is "partial 16S ribosomal RNA". It matches the Rfam family "Bacterial small subunit ribosomal RNA", at positions 96 to 339 of the family's 1533-position model. The record is from RNAcentral.